Molecule: long non-coding RNA, 607 nt
Filed under: Homo sapiens (human)
Lineage: Eukaryota; Metazoa; Chordata; Mammalia; Primates; Hominidae
Description: non-protein coding lnc-IKZF2-3:3
Source: RNAcentral
UUCCUACCCAAGCAGCUUGGUUUUCUUUCGCUUUGACCCUGUAAUUUCUUUCCCACUUCGUUGUCGUCUCUGAAUUACCUUUCUCUUGAUUCUUGCCCAUUAGCAUCCUCCAAUUUCAGAUGUUUGUAGAUCCCCAAGUGUUCCCAGGGAAAACUACUAGAAAAGGAGAAAACUGAAUGGGCUACCUUUGAAGUCCAGGGCACCCUCCUCUAUCUUGUUCACUUCCUCAUCAGGCACUAUCUAUGGACUGAGAAGAGAAGGACUUUAAAACAGUGGUAAAGAAAGCAACAAAGACAAUGACUGGCAAGACAGAAGAAUUGUGCAGAGAAAGAGGUAGAUAGAAAUGGAAGUCUGUUGUUCCCCUCUAUGUGUCUAUGUGUUUUCAUCAUUUUGCUCCCACUGAUACGUGAGAACAUGCCACAUUUGGUUUUCUGUUCCUGUGUUAGUUUGGUAAGGAUAAUGCCCUCCAGCUCUAUCCAUGUCCCUGCAAAGAACGUGAUCUCAUUCUUUUUAAUGGGUGUAAAGUAUUCCAUGGUGUAUAUGUACCACAACACCCCUGAACUUAACUUAAAAGUUAAAAAUAAAAAAUAAAAAAGGAAAAGCUGAG